RNAcentral lists this ribosomal RNA (557 nucleotides) under uncultured bacterium. Its description in RNAcentral is "bacterial SSU rRNA". It matches the Rfam family "Bacterial small subunit ribosomal RNA", at positions 102 to 694 of the family's 1533-position model. The record is from RNAcentral.
ACGGGUGAGUAACGCGUGGGAAUCUACCCAUCUCUACGGAAUAACGCAUGGAAACGUGUGCUAAUACCGUAUACGUCCUUCGGGAGAAAGAUUUAUCGGAGAUGGAUGAGCCCGCGUUGGAUUAGCUAGUUGGUGGGGUAAAGGCCUACCAAGGCGACGAUCCAUAGCUGGUCUGAGAGGAUGAUCAGCCACACUGGGACUGAGACACGGCCCAGACUCCUACGGGAGGCAGCAGUGGGGAAUAUUGGACAAUGGGCGCAAGCCUGAUCCAGCCAUGCCGCGUGAGUGAUGAAGGCCCUAGGGUUGUAAAGCUCUUUCGCCGGUGAAGAUAAUGACGGUAACCGGAGAAGAAGCCCCGGCUAACUUCGUGCCAGCAGCCGCGGUAAUACGAAGGGGGCUAGCGUUGUUCGGAUUUACUGGGCGUAAAGCGCACGUAGGCGGACUAUUAAGUCAGGGGUGAAAUCCCGGGGCUCAACCCCGGAACUGCCUUUGAUACUGGUAGUCUUGAGUUCGAGAGAGGUGAGUGGAAUUCCGAGUGUAGAGGUGAAAUUCGUAGA